Molecule: ribosomal RNA, 498 nt
Filed under: Epicoccum nigrum
Lineage: Eukaryota; Fungi; Ascomycota; Dothideomycetes; Pleosporales; Didymellaceae
Description: eukaryotic LSU rRNA
Rfam family: 5.8S ribosomal RNA (bases 124-277)
Source: RNAcentral
GUCUGCUACCUCUUACCCAUGUCUUUUGAGUACCUUCGUUUCCUCGGCGGGUCCGCCCGCCGGUUGGACAACAUUCAAACCCUUUGCAGUUGCAAUCAGCGUCUGAAAAAACUUAAUAGUUACAACUUUCAACAACGGAUCUCUUGGUUCUGGCAUCGAUGAAGAACGCAGCGAAAUGCGAUAAGUAGUGUGAAUUGCAGAAUUCAGUGAAUCAUCGAAUCUUUGAACGCACAUUGCGCCCCUUGGUAUUCCAUGGGGCAUGCCUGUUCGAGCGUCAUUUGUACCUUCAAGCUCUGCUUGGUGUUGGGUGUUUUGUCUCGCCUCCGCGCGCAGACUCGCCUUAAAACAAUUGGCAGCCGGCGUAUUGAUUUCGGAGCGCAGUACAUCUCGCGCUUUGCACUCAUAACGACGACGUCCAAAAGUACAUUUUUACACUCUUGACCUCGGAUCAGGUAGGGAUACCCGCUGAACUUAAGCAUAUCAAUAAGCGGAGGAAAC